Non-coding RNA from Macaca mulatta (Rhesus monkey), 1315 nucleotides. NCBI's taxonomy places the organism in Eukaryota, Metazoa, Chordata, Mammalia, Primates, Cercopithecidae. The record is from RefSeq and is a predicted model, not a curated record.
UGAAUAUAAGGAAAUAAAACUAAAUUGUACAAAAUAGACAAUUGUUUUACUAGCACCUCUCUUUUUAACCAAGGUAGAUUCACAGCUAACUGAAAUAUACCAUUAUGGCCUUUAAUACCGACUAUUUGUCCAUGAGCUCGUUGAGGAUGGGGAAUAAAUUAUGUUUGUAGCAACAUCCCCAUCUAUCGAAAUGUCUGGAACCAAGCAGAUCUUGGGUACCCACAAUGAUUGCCAUUUCGUGUCUAUCCAUUUAGAUUCCUGCCCCCCAACCCCCGCCCUGACACCCACCUCCACCAACCUCGCUGGGAAACCCUUCCAGACCUCAGUUUAGAUGAGACCAAAAUAAUAAUGUUGUUAGUGUGUUUUAAAGUCAUGUUUUUAAUAAUAACACAAAAGAUUAGACAAGUUAAUUUAAAGAUGAUAAAAGAAAAAAAGCAUAACGAUUCUCUUUCUCAUUUGAUUCCAUUUCUCCUCCACAAAAGAGAAAGAUACUCCGACUAUGAAGGAUAGAACACAAAUCCUAGUAGGGGAGAUAGUAAGAGAGUGUCUAACAGCUUUAAAAUGUGUUCAAGUCCAGAUGCAUUAUAUCUAAGACAAUUAAAACAAUUUGCAGCUGUUAUUGCAGCUGCUCGUGUCCUGGGAAAAAAAAAAAAAAAUCAGAGGGAAUGGGAAAAUUGCCAGAAGAUCAGAGCUAAGUAAAUGCCUUAGAUUUCAAAAAGAGGGAUUUCAUAAUCUAAAGCCAGAUGAGUUUGACUUUCAUACCCAGCAACAUUUUAAAAUGGAUUCUUAACUCAAUUAUGUGUAUGCACUUAAUAGGGAAAGAGGCAAUCACCAAAGGCCAGCAUAAAGUAGCCAAAAAUAAUUCAUGACAAAUUAUUUUUAUGCACUUACUAUAUUAGAAGGAAAUGGAAAGAAUAUUACAGGCAGAUUUUAUUCAAACACCAGUCAGGAUUGAUUUAAAGAGAGAAAUGUAUUGAGUCCCUGCUAUGUGCUGUUUACCGUAAUAGGCCUUUGGGAUAAAAUGCCGGACGGGACACAGUUGUCGCCUUCAAGGGGAUUUAAGUCUAGUGGGAGAAGUUGAAAAGAACCCAAGUGUAUUUAUCAAGAACUGAGGCAGAGUCUUUUUUAUGGACUGCAAAAAGCUGGGAAGGAGGCAAAGUGUUGUUGAAACAUUAUCAAGAUUCAGAAAGCUCUUGACAGGCUGGAGCAAAGGGCCUCUGCCAGUUACAUGAUGAAACAAUACAAGCUGCUGUGUUUCAAAAAAAUAAAGAAUCUUUAAAAUUGUCCAAUUGCUUUUUUGGUAAACACAGGUGAA